This 465-nucleotide ribosomal RNA is filed under the name Vreelandella stevensii. RNAcentral describes it as "partial 16S ribosomal RNA". It matches the Rfam family "Bacterial small subunit ribosomal RNA", at positions 338 to 795 of the family's 1533-position model. The record is from RNAcentral. Lineage: Bacteria; Pseudomonadati; Pseudomonadota; Gammaproteobacteria; Oceanospirillales; Halomonadaceae.
CCUACGGGUGGCUGCAGUGGGGAAUAUUGGACAAUGGGCGAAAGCCUGAUCCAGCCAUGCCGCGUGUGUGAAGAAGGCCUUCGGGUUGUAAAGCACUUUCAGUGGGGAAGAAAGCCUUGGGGCUAAUACCCUCGAGGAAGGACAUCACCCACAGAAGAAGCACCGGCUAACUCCGUGCCAGCAGCCGCGGUAAUACGGAGGGUGCGAGCGUUAAUCGGAAUUACUGGGCGUAAAGCGCGCGUAGGCGGUCUGAUAAGCCGGUUGUGAAAGCCCCGGGCUCAACCUGGGAACGGCAUCCGGAACUGUCAGGCUAGAGUGCAGGAGAGGAGGGUAGAAUUCCCGGUGUAGCAGUGAAAUGCGUAGAGAUCGGGAGGAAUACCAGUGGCGAAGGCGGCCUUCUGGACUGACACUGACGCUGAGGUGCGAAAGCGUGGGUAGCAAACAGGAUUAGAUACCCCAGUAGUC